UGGCUGUUGACAGUGAGCGGCUGUAAACAUCCUCGACUGGAAGCUGUGAGGCAUGGACGGGCUUUCAGUCGGAUGUUUGCAGCUGCCUCCUGCCCCGGACUUCCAGGAGCUACUUUAGGAGC
Otolemur garnettii (small-eared galago) is the source of this 122-nucleotide microRNA precursor. NCBI's taxonomy places the organism in Eukaryota, Metazoa, Chordata, Mammalia, Primates, Galagidae. The record is from Ensembl.